This 1458-nucleotide ribosomal RNA is filed under the name metagenome. RNAcentral's name for it is "bacterial SSU rRNA". It matches the Rfam family "Archaeal small subunit ribosomal RNA". The record is from RNAcentral.
UCCAGUUGAUCCUGCUGGAGGAUAUUGCUAUCAGACUUCGAUUUAGCCAUGCAAGUCAGCUCACUCACUUGGGUGGGCGGCGUAAGGCUGAGUAACACGUAGUCAAUCUACCCUGAGGACGCGGAAAACGUCGGGAAACUGACGCUAACCCGCGUUAAGCGACCUAUGCUGGAAUGCUUGGCCGUUUAAAUCCUUGAUGAAUUGGAAUCAAUGGGCCUUAGGAUGAGACUGCGGUGGAUUAUGGUAGUUGGAGAGGUAAUGGCUCACCAAGCCGAUAAUCCAUAGGGGCCAUGGGAGUGGUGGCCCCCAGAAGGGAACUGAGACAAGGUCCCUAGCCCUACGGGGUGUAGCAGGCGCGAGACCUCUACAAUGCGCGAAAGCGUGAUAGGGGAAGUCUGAGUGGCGGCAGCAUUGCUGUCGUCUUUUACCAAGUGUAAAUAGCUUGGAGAAUAAGGGUGUGGGCAAGACUGGUGGCAGCUGCCGCGGUAACACCAGCGCCUCGAGUGAUAUCCACGAAUACUGGGCCUAAAGCGUCCGUAGCUGGACGGGUAAGUCCACUGUGAAAUGUUGAGGUUCAACCUCAUCGCUUGCAGUAGAUACUGCCUGUCUCGGGAACGGGGGAGGGUCGGAGUACAUCUAGUUAGGGGUAAAAUCCGUUGAGCCUAGAUGGACUACCAGUGGCGAAGGCGCCGAUCCAAAACGUGUCCGACAGUGAGGGACGAAAGCUAGGGGAGCGAACGGGACUAGAUACCCCGGUAGUCCUAGCCGUAAAUCAUGCAGACUGGGGUGUUGCGCAUGAGUAAUCAUGUGCAGUGCUGUAGCGUAGGUCUUAAGUCUGCCGCCUGGGGAGUACGAUCGCAAGAUUUAAACUUAAAGGAAUUGGCGGGGGAGCACCACAAGCCGUGGAUGCUACGGUUUAAUUGGAUACAACGCCGGAAAUAUCACCAGUGGAGACGGCAGAAUGACAGCCAGGCUGAAGGUCUUGCUUGACAAGCCGAGAGGUAUUGCAUGGCCAUCGUCAGCUCGUGGUGUGAACUGUCCUGUUAAGUCAGGCAACGAGCGAGACCCAUGCGUUUAGUUACUAAUUUCGCCUCUGGGCGAGAUGUACUUUAAACGGACUGCCCGUGCUAAAUGGGAGGAAGGAGUGGGCGACGGUAGGUCAGUAUGGUCCGAAACUACUUGGGCUACACGCGGCAUACAGUGGAUGGAACAAUGGGCUGCGACUUCGAGAGGAGGAGCCAAUCCCCGAAAUCCAUCCGUGGUUCGGAUUGAGGGUUGAAACCCACCCUCAUGAAGAUGGAAUGGCUAGUAAUCGCGUGUCACUAUCGCGCGGUGAAUGUGUCCCCGCUCCUUGCACACACCGCCCGUCAAGUCACCCAAAUGUUUUUUCGGUGAGGUCCUGGUUAUUGCCGGGCUCGAACCGGGAGGACGUGAGGGGGGCUAAGUCGUAACAAGGUA